Molecule: ribosomal RNA, 253 nt
Filed under: uncultured bacterium
Lineage: Bacteria
Description: partial 16S ribosomal RNA
Rfam family: Bacterial small subunit ribosomal RNA
Source: RNAcentral
UACGUAUGGAGCAAGCGUUGUCCGGAUUUACUGGGUGUAAAGGGAGCGCAGGCGGUCUGGCAAGUCUGAUGUGAAAGGCCGGGGCUCAACUCCGGGACUGCAUUGGAAACUGUCAGACUGGAGUGUCGGAGAGGUAAGCGGAAUUCCUAGUGUAGCGGUGAAAUGCGUAGAUAUUAGGAGGAACACCAGUGGCGAAGGCGGCUUACUGGACGAUGACUGACGCUGAGGCUCGAAAGCGUGGGGAGCAAACAGG